Molecule: unclassified non-coding RNA, 225 nt
Filed under: Hevea brasiliensis (rubber tree)
Lineage: Eukaryota; Viridiplantae; Streptophyta; Magnoliopsida; Malpighiales; Euphorbiaceae
Source: RNAcentral
UUUUUUUGGAGCCAAAUGCAACAAGCGUAGCAAUUUAGAGAAGUGCUUUUAUACCGAUUGUCUAGAGCUGGAGAAUUGCAGAUCUAUAAGUAAGCAGGUGAAUCAUUUGGCAAUGUUGCAUAAAGGACGACCACGUGAAGAACUUGUUUUAAACUGCUCGACCCAUUCCUGAAUCCUCACACAAAAUAGUAAGAUUGGGGUUCAAUUUGCUCAGUUAAUUGGUUG